RNAcentral lists this ribosomal RNA (513 nucleotides) under uncultured bacterium. RNAcentral describes it as "partial 16S ribosomal RNA". It matches the Rfam family "Bacterial small subunit ribosomal RNA", at positions 28 to 523 of the family's 1533-position model. The record is from RNAcentral.
GAUGAACGCUGGCGGCGUGCCUAAUACAUGCAAGUCGAGCGGACCAAAGAGAGCUUGCUCUCUGAGGUUAGCGGCGGACGGGUGAGUAACACGUGGGUAACCUGCCUGUAAGACGGGGAUAACUUCGGGAAACCGAAGCUAGUACCGGAUGAUAAAGAGAAACGCCUGUUUCUUUUUUGAAAGUCGGCCUUGUGCUGACGCUUACAGAUGGGCCCGCGGCGCAUUAGCUAGUUGGUGAGGUAACGGCUGACCAAGGCGACGAUGCGUAGCCGACGUGAGAGGGUGAUCGGGCACGAGGGGAGUGAGACACGGCCCAGACUCCGACGGGAGGCAGCAGUAGGGAAUCUUCGGCAAUGGACGAAAGUCUGACCGAGCAACGCCGCGUGAGCGAUGAAGGCCUUCGGGUCGUAAAGCUCUGUUGUCAGAGAAGAACAAGUACCGGAGUAACUGCCGGUACCUUGACGGUACCUGACCAGAAAGCCACGGCUAACUACGUGCCAGCAGCCGCCGUAA